RNAcentral lists this long non-coding RNA (3330 nucleotides) under Sus scrofa (pig). RNAcentral describes it as "lncRNA (ENSSSCG00000057260.1)". The record is from RNAcentral. Lineage: Eukaryota; Metazoa; Chordata; Mammalia; Artiodactyla; Suidae.
CUAGCCUGUGUGGCCCUAAAAAGAAGCCAAAAAAAAAAAAAAAAAAAAAAGAAAGAAAGAAAGAAAAAAGAACAUAAGGCUUUGUAUCCAGGCCACCCAUGGGAUCAGAUCCUGGCACCAUUUCUUUCUAAAUAUGAGACCUGGAGCAACUCUCUCUGCCUCUCUGAACCUCAGUUUCUGUCUCCGGAAAAUGGGGCUGAUAAUGAUACCUCCCUGUGGCACAGUUGUGAGGAUCUAAGGAGUCCUUAGCCCAGCACCUGGCCCCUCACAGGGGCGCCAUCAGACUCAGCUACUAUGGUGCUGGUGUUUGCUGCUCCCCAUCAAGGAUAUGUAACCCCAGGGACCUUGUGAGAAUGGCACCCAGCGAACAUUCAGACAGGCUCUCUCUGGGUGCCUUGAAUAGCCCCGGUCAGUCAGAGGGAACCCAAGGAACAUACACUGCUUUGAAUAUUUGCUGAAAUAAUCAGGGAAGCGGAAUAGGGAAGGAAACAGGCAUCCUCAGUGUCAGGCUGGGCUCAUGAACUCUGUGCGGCAGGGGCGGGGGAGGUAAUGGCAGAGCACAAGGUGGAUCAGUUAGUUAAUGAACUUCUUAACUAAAUGGUACCAGAGACACACACACAAGAAACACUUUUUUUUUUUCAGAGAAGGAUGGCAGGUCCGGCAGCCCAAGUGCUGGGUUCAGAUUCCUGUCUGGCCACAGACCAGCUGUGGGAACUUAGGGAAGUUACUUGACCUCUGUGUGCUCCAGUUUCCUCAACUGUAGAAAUGCAGAUACAGAGGUAAUGGUGGCUGCUUCAAAGGGUGGCUCUGAAAAUACAAUGUAUCUACUCAAUCUAAGCACAAACAUCAGGGCUGGGCACAUAAUCAGUGCUCAGGAUGUCAUGGCUUCUGCCUUCUGUUCUGCUCUUAUAACCCUGGGCAAGCAAGCUCCAUCAGCCUUGGUGUCAGGUGAUGUGAUAAUCCCCAGAUUCACAGCAUCAGUACUACCCAGGAGCUGGUUAGAAAUAUAAAUACUGAAGCUUCACCUCCAACCCACCAAAUCAGAAACUGUGUUUGCUGGCUCUGUGACCUCAUUUGGAAAGAUGAACCCCUCUCUGCUAUGGAUUCCUUGUGUGUAAAUUGUGGAUUAUACUGUAACCUAUUCUUCCUCUACUCUCAUGUCUCUAGGGUGACAUUGGCCUUCCAUCAGUUUCUAGACUGGGUCAAACUCUUUUCUGCCCCAGGGAUUUUGUACUUACUAUUCCUCUGCUUGGAAUACCUCUUUGUUGGCUCACCCCUCUGCCGACCCUUGUUAUCUUUUAGGCUUCAGCUUCAUGUCACCUUCUCAAAGAGGCCUUCCUUCAUCAGCCCUGUUCCGUCCCAUUACUCCAUCUCUCUACACAUGAUAUAUUUCUCUCCUGGUGCUAAUCUCAAUCUGCAGUUGUCUUAUUUCUGGGUCUACUUAUUUGCUUCUUCUUAUCUUUCCUAUCAGCAUGUGAACAGGGCAGAAAUUGGGUUUUUCUCUCUGCUCAGUGCCUGGUAGAGGGUGGGUGCUCCAUAAACAUCUCUAGAUGGAAUGAAUGAGAAUGUCCUAGAGUUAACAUGCAGUGCUUAUUGCAGAACUGGGCACAUGUUGAAGGCCCCAUCAUAAAAAUAGCUUUCUAAUAUAAUUAUAAUAAAAUAAGCCACAGUGCAGUUCUGGGCUUCCUGUGACCAUGGACCCUGGUCUUUGCAAAUAGCUACUUAGGCAGUACUGAAGUACAGAGGCCUUCUCAUCCAUGACUCCAGACUCAGGCGGCACCCGUGUGACCCUCCUGCCCAAUCGCAUAGCCAAGCUGAAGAUGCUGCCUCAUUAAAAUAUGGAAAUAGCUGUCAUAUUGCUAUCACCCAGCCCAAGCCAUCAAGUGCUGCAAAUUGGUUUCUGCCAUUUUAUACAGCACAACAUACACUGGUUAACUUUUCAAACAGUAAACACCACCUGCAAAGUGCUUUUAAUAUUUAAUGUGACUGUAAAUUGUUUUGAAAAUAAAUCAGCCAUGUGGGAAAGCAGCAGAAGGGACAGGACACCAAUCCAGGAACUGCUUCCAUGCAGGACAGAGGGGCUAAGACUCAGGUGCUGAUUCUGAUAGCCUAAUUAUCUGAUUACUUUAGUGCCCUGACAUUUGUGCUUUGAAGACCCAUGGGUGAUGCUCUCACUCUCAGUGCCAUACUGAUUCUGAACUCAUGACAAAGCCUACCUGUACAGAGGAGAUGGGGAUACAUGCAUAAGGUAUACCUUGACCAAGGUAGGGAGAAAGGUUAUUGGCCACCACCUUGGUGGGGAAAAGGGUGAGAUUGGUACUGAGCUCUUUUGGCCAAACCAGCUCUUAACCCUUUACCAGCCAUGCUGCACAGGGUCAUGGCAAGCAUGGGGUUGGGGUAGGGUUAUAGGGCCUCAGUCUUUUUGUCUUAGUUCCAUCAUAAGUAAAAUUAAGAUGCUAGUAAUAUCUACCUGGUUUAUUACUGUAGAUUCAAAUUGGUGAAAUAUGUGAGGCAUUGUCUGGCAUGUGGGACAAUACAUGAAUGUGAGUUUGUUGCUGUGGCUGACCUGAUCCCCAUGGUCCUUGUCCCUCCUCUCCAGCUGCACUGACCUCUCCAUGCCUGGUGUUCUUGCAUGCUCCCUUCCAGCCCUGGGCCUUUGCACCAGCUGUGUCAUCUGUUUGCCUCUUCUUCCUUUUCUUUGUUUGCCUGGUUAAUGCCUGCUAACCUCUCAGCUAUUAACUCAAUUGACUCAAACAUUGAAGUUUUGGAAAACUGCAAGUUCUCUCUUCUUUGUGUCAUAGUUGGCAACUAAAUUUCUGGAUCUGGGAGACUGCGUUCAGGGGGAAGUUCUCUGUUUAGGCCAUACCCAGUCCUCUGACCACUUGUGACUGGAGUCUGAGGGCCAGGAGCAGCAGCCACAUCACAAGCCAUGUGCUGGCGGCAGAACGGCUGAGCAGUGCCCCCAGAGAAGGGAGUUGCUGUUCUUGGCAAACAAAACUAUCUUUUUCUAUUACAAUGAGAGGGUGUCCAAGGACCGUCACCCAGAAGCCACAUGAGGACCAACUGUGGUGGGUGAUCAGUUAGGCAGCUAUUGUUUUGUUCAAAGUUGGAAGGAUGAGGGCUGAUGAUGCGGGAAACAUUUCAAAGAGAGAGAGAAAGUAGGCAAAUUCUGAGCCUUCUAACUUGAGUAAGAGAAUGUAUGGUGGUAUCUGGAAGGUUAAGUGACAACAUUUAUGUCCUGCCAGGGCCCUCAUAUGAUAUAACCCCAAGUGGUGGGUGAUUAUGUCUGGGUAUGAGAUAAUAGUAUUCAGCUCAGAGAGGGAGACUGCU